Myiozetetes cayanensis is the source of this 805-nucleotide long non-coding RNA. RefSeq lists it as uncharacterized. The record is from RefSeq and is a predicted model, not a curated record. The transcript has 3 exons. NCBI's taxonomy places the organism in Eukaryota, Metazoa, Chordata, Aves, Passeriformes, Tyrannidae.
ACAGCUCUUCUCAUUGAGGUUUUGCAAUCAGAGAGUCUCUGCUUCCCAGAGGACUUGACAGCUCUACAAAGCUUAAACGAAAGUUAGAGUCACAUGGCAAAGAGAUAAUUGCUGGUGUGUGACUUGGGACUUAUGGCAUGAAAAUCAAGACGAAAUACAGGCAGGAUCUGUGGGAAAGAUGCUGAGGAACUUGGGAUUGUCAUAGGGAAUGAGAAGUCAGCUAAGCUCACAUAAAAGACAAGGAGUGAGAACAGGCUGGGAAGACCUGAAGGAUGAAGAUUGAGAAUUGAUCACGGAAAAAUGAAUAAUAGCUGUAGAGGGAAGUCCAAGAUGAUGGGUGACUCAAGAUCUUGAUCAUUAUGGAAAUUUCUGUAGGGGGACUGGAAGGUAAAGCUGAGUGAGGCUUAUAGUCCUUAUGAAUCACAGAAUAUGCAGCUGGAAGGGACCCGUAAGGAUCACCGAGUCCAACUCCUGGCCCUGCACAGGACAAUCCCUGAGAGUCACACCAUGUGCCUGAGAAUAUUGUCCAAAUGCUUCUUGAAUUCUGUCAGGCUUGGGGCUGUGGCCGCUUCCCUGGGGAGCCUGUUCCAGUGCUCAACAACUUUCUGGGUGAAGAAAGUUUUUCUAGUAUCUAACCUAAACCUCCUCUGAGACAACUUCAGGUCAUUCCCUUCGGUUCUGUCACUGUUUGUUUUGUUGGGUCUGUUAUUCUUUAUACCGGUUAGACUGAGUUUAAAUUUAACUGAAAUUUAAUUUUGUUUAAAAACUGCUGUAUUCACCUCAAAAUAAUUUUGUUAUUCCAUCA